This 497-nucleotide ribosomal RNA is filed under the name uncultured bacterium. RNAcentral's name for it is "partial 16S ribosomal RNA". It matches the Rfam family "Bacterial small subunit ribosomal RNA", at positions 28 to 507 of the family's 1533-position model. The record is from RNAcentral.
GAUGAACGCUGGCGGCGUGCCUAAUACAUGCAAGUCGAGCGAACAGAUGAGGAGCUUGCUCCUCUGACGUUAGCGGCGGACGGGUGAGUAACACGUGGAUAACCUACCUAUAAGACUGGUAUAACUUCGGGAAACCGGAGCUAAUACCGGAUAAUAUAUUGAACCGCAUGGUUCAAUAGUGAAAGACGGUUUUGCUGUCACUUAUAGAUGGAUCCGCGCCGCAUUAGCUAGUUGGUAAGGUAACGGCUUACCAAGGCAACGAUGCGUAGCCGACCUGAGAGGGUGAUCGGCCACACUGGAACUGAGACACGGUCCAGACUCCUACGGGAGGCAGCAGUAGGGAAUCUUCCGCAAUGGGCGAAAGCCUGACGGAGCAACGCCGCGUGAGUGAUGAAGGUCUUCGGAUCGUAAAACUCUGUUAUUAGGGAAGAACAAAUGUGUAAGUAACUAUGCACGUCUUGACGGUACCUAAUCAGAAAGCCACGGCUAACUACGUG